Molecule: unclassified non-coding RNA, 339 nt
Filed under: soil metagenome
Description: partial contains 5.8S ribosomal RNA, internal transcribed spacer 2, and large subunit ribosomal RNA
Rfam family: 5.8S ribosomal RNA (bases 1-120)
Source: RNAcentral
GAUGAAGAACGUAGCGAAAUGCGAUACGUAGUGUGAAUUGCAGAAUUCAGUGAAUCAUCGAAUCUUUGAACGCACAUUGCACCUCUCGGUAUUCCGGGAGGUAUGCCUGUUCGAGCGUCAUUUGUACCCUCAAGCUCUGCUUGGUGUUGGGUGUUUGUUCCGCCUCUGUGUGUGAACUCGCCUCAAAACAAUUGGCAGCCGGCGUACUUGUUUCGGAGCGCAGCACAUUUUGCGAUCCAGAUCAACGUACAGCGGCAUCCAAGAAGCCUUAUUUAACGCUCUUGACCUCGGAUCAGGUAGGGAUACCCGCUUAUCUUAAGCAUAUCAAUAAGCGGAGGA